This 425-nucleotide ribosomal RNA is filed under the name uncultured bacterium. RNAcentral describes it as "bacterial SSU rRNA". It matches the Rfam family "Bacterial small subunit ribosomal RNA", at positions 379 to 793 of the family's 1533-position model. The record is from RNAcentral.
AAGCCUGAUGCAGCCAUGCCGCGUGUUAUGAAGAAGGCCUUUGGGUUGUAAAAGUACUUUCAGCAGUGAGGAAGGUGGGUAUGUUAAUAGCAUACUCAUUUGACGUUAGCUGCAGAAGAAGCACCGGCUAACUCCGUGCCAGCAGCCGCGGUAAUACGGAGGGUGCGAGCGUUUAAUCGGAAUUACUGGGCGUAAAAGCGCAUGCAGGUGGUUUGUUAAGUCAGAUGUGAAAGCCCGGGGCUCAACCUCGGAAUUGCAUUUGAAACUGGCAAACUAGAGUACUGUAGAGGGGGUAGAAUUUCAGGUGUAGCGGUGAAAUGCGUAGAGAUCUGAAGGAAUACCGGUGGCGAAGGCGGCCCCCUGGACAGAUACUGACACUCAGAUGCGAAAGCGUGGGGAGCAAACAGGAUUAGAUACCCUGGUAG